UGCCCUGCCCUGCCUGGAGAUAUGAUGCAUGCAUCUCACUCACUCGAGGCAUGGCAUGGCAUACAUCUCUCUCUAGUCUAUCCUCCUUCAGUGUCGCCAAUAAAUGCCCCCAACCUCCCGUCCCGCGUCGUCGCCUACUCGCUGCUUCAUUCAUCCAUCCAUCCAUUCAUCCAUUGAUGCGCUCAUCGCCGUCCGGUCGCUGCCCUGCUGCUGCUGCUGCUUCUUCUUCUUCUUCUUCUUCUUCUUCACGCCUCACUCUGUCGCUUCUUCCUCUGCAGCGUACGUGCUGGUGCUGCAAAAGGAAAGGAGCCGCGGCUCCAUCCAUCCAUCCAUCCAUCCAUGCAAGUCGUCUUCCUGCCGACCGGCCUGCCUGCCUCUAGUACAUUCGGGAUCGAUCGAGGUGGGUGGCUAACUAAAGCUAAUUAAUGGCGAUAUCCUCGUGCGUGCAUGCACGCAAUGGCCGCGAGCUAGACGGGGUAUUGACGCGGUUCAAUUCGAGAGCUCGAGCCCUAGCAGAGGCCAGGGGGGGUGGGGCUCUGCUCUCUGAUUGAGCCGUGCCAAUAUCACGUCCCACUCGCCCUCGCGCGCGGACGUUGCCGCCGCGGUGUCCGUCCGUAUCACAUCCGUUAGUUCUUUGCCUCGCUGAACUCUGCAUUAAUUAAUGUGCGUAUAUUAUAUCCUCAACAAUUUCCCCUCUUUUUACUGAUGACGUGUUCCAGUCAAUGUGAAUGAAUGGAAAAUGGACGUGUUUACUGAUGAUCGAUAUGAGCUGACAAGUUAUUCUGGGAACCUUUUAUUAGUAGAAGCAAAUCAAUGGUCACACGCAACGCCAUGUCUGGAAACCAGCAAAGGAAAGCUAGCUGGUCAUAAACCGUUCGUACGUGCGAGGGCAACUGAUGGCCACUGCAAAGCUUUGUGUGUGUGUGUGUGUAAUUGGAGUUACCACAGAGAGAGCGUCCAACCAAAAGGACAAUUGUGAUAAGCUCUCACGCAUGCCACCUACCCCCGCGUUUACAUGAUCUCCCAUUUCAGUCUCAUUCUAGUAAUGGUUGAUGCCAAGUCCUUAUACAUGAGCAUGAGCAUGUUUGGAUCGUAACAUCCCAUUUCAAUCUCAUUCUAAUAAAUGAUCAAUGCGGGGUGCUUAUACAUGAUCAUGAGAGCAUGUGUUGGAUCCGCUGGACUAGUUGUAGCCCAACCAAAGUGUAGGUGACUAAAACUUAAAUAGUCCUAUGUUGUUU
Molecule: long non-coding RNA, 1238 nt
Organism: Zea mays
Lineage: Eukaryota; Viridiplantae; Streptophyta; Magnoliopsida; Poales; Poaceae
Source: RefSeq, marked validated